This 26-nucleotide non-coding RNA is filed under the name Homo sapiens (human). Lineage: Eukaryota; Metazoa; Chordata; Mammalia; Primates; Hominidae. The record is from RNAcentral.
UGCUGCUGUCUGUGCUGCUGCUUCAA